GCGUUGUUCGGAUUCAUUGGGCGUAAAGGGUGCGUAGGCGGCGCGGUAAGUCGGGUGUGAAAUCUCGGGGCUUAACUCCGAAACUGCAUUCGAUACUGCCGUGCUUGAGGACUGGAGUGGAGACUGGAAUUUACGGUGUAGCGGUGAAAUGCGUAGAUAUCGUAAGGAAGACCAGUGGCGAAGGCGGGUCUCUGGACAGUUCCUGACGCUGAGGCACGAAGGCCAGGGGAGCAAACGGGAUUAGAUACCCCGGUAGUCCUGGCGGUAAACGGUGCACGUUUGGUGUGGGAGGAUUCGACCCCUUCUGCGCCGGAGCUAACGCGUUAAACGUGCCGCCUGGGGAGUACGGUCGCAAGAUUAAAACUCAAAGAAAUUGACGGGGGCCCGCACAAGCGGUGGAGUAUGUGGCUCAAUUCGAUGCAACGCGAAGAACCUUACCUGGCCUUGACAUGCAUCCCUAAGUUGGUGAAAGCCAGCGAGUCCCGAAAGGGACAAUUUGCACAGGUGCUGCAUGGCUGUCGUCAGCUCGUGUCGUGAGAUGUUGGGUUGAGUCCCGCAACGAGCGCAACCCCUGUGAACUGUUGCCACCGAGCCGUGAGGCUCGAGCACUCUGUUCAGACUGCCCCGCUCUGACGGGGAGGAAGGUGGGGACGACGUCAAGUCAGUAUGGCCCUUACGGCCAGGGCUGCACACGUACUACAAUGCCCAGUACAAAACGAUCCAAGACCGCGAGGUGGAGGAAAUCACUAAAACUGG
This 756-nucleotide ribosomal RNA is filed under the name uncultured Xiphinematobacteriaceae bacterium. RNAcentral describes it as "bacterial SSU rRNA". It matches the Rfam family "Bacterial small subunit ribosomal RNA", at positions 538 to 1285 of the family's 1533-position model. Lineage: Bacteria; Pseudomonadati; Verrucomicrobiota; Spartobacteria. The record is from RNAcentral.